Molecule: long non-coding RNA, 827 nt
Organism: Rosa chinensis
Lineage: Eukaryota; Viridiplantae; Streptophyta; Magnoliopsida; Rosales; Rosaceae
Exons: 4
Source: RefSeq, a predicted model, not a curated record
UGGUGGCCGACUAAGGAAAAGAAAGGAAGAAAAAGAGGAGAAAGAAAUGGAACAGAGGGAGAGAUGAAGAAAGGAGGAGAAGGAAAUAAGAAGACCCUCCUUUUCUUUGGAAGAGGCAUGCUGUUAUUGGAGAGAAAAGUAGGAAAGGAAAGGGAAGAAGGGACGAGAAGGAGCGAAAGAAAAGAAAGAAGAAAAGACCAGAGAGAGCACGGGGAAGAGAAAGAAAAGAAGGAAAGAACAGAGAAAACGCGGGGAAGAGAAAGGAAAGAAGGAAAGAAAAACAAAAGAGAGAGAGAGGGAGCACAGUAAAGUAAGGUAUUGGUGAAGAUUAACAGAGUAGCUUUGUUUUUGAGAAAUUGUGCAGUGAUUGUUCAUGGUGGGUUUCGAUUCCAGAAGAGGGAGAGAUUGAGGUGAUGUUUAGUCGUCUUUUGUACAAGGGAAUAGUGGGUUGAGGUUUUACCAUUCAAUGGAACGGGUGAGGAGGAAGUUUCUGCUUGUGAAGUUGGAGAAUACAAUUUGUAUACCAAAACGACGUUGGAUUUUCUGAAAUAGAAGUGAAGCUACAUGAACCAUGACUGCUGGGAGCUAAUGGAUUUGAGGUACGAAAUGCAGAGGGCAACCUCUUUUGUUGCUCAAGUAGGCCAUGGCUCUCCGGUCUAACAACACAGCCAAAGCUAAAGCAAUAGCACUAAGGAUGAAGGCACUGCAAAUGAAAAGAGGUAAAAAAAACAGUGUCGAAACCAGCUGUUGAAGAGACUGAUGCACUACCUAAAUCUGCCUUCACCAAACAUGAUCAAUAGUAUGAGAUAUCAGUGUUUUUUGGGUUC